Molecule: long non-coding RNA, 1017 nt
Filed under: Suricata suricatta (meerkat)
Lineage: Eukaryota; Metazoa; Chordata; Mammalia; Carnivora; Herpestidae
Description: lncRNA (ENSSSUG00005014326.1)
Source: RNAcentral
CCCUCCUCCCUGGAGCCACGGAGAACGGGCCCCAGGAGCUCCCGGAGCGACCGUGGCCGCCCUUGCGCCCGGAGCACGGGCCUCGGCACGGACCCCGCCUUGCCCACGCCUGCUUCUUGGGCUUCUCUGCUCCCAGAGCGGUGAGUGUGUCGGUUUCGGUGCUCAGUCUGGCGGCGUGUUCAGCGGCCUGCGCUGACACAGACGCGGGAGACCAGCGGCCGGGAGUCCGGCCUCCCCCAGCGCCUGUCACCGCACGCAGUGACGUGGCCCAGGAGUGGUGGCGGGCGGAAGGCGCCCCACGAGGCUGGGGCGGAGCAGACGGCCGCGGGCUGAGGGGGAGCCCACCAGCUAGAGAGAAGCUCCCGAGCCUUUUGGGUGGUGCACACGGCCCAGGCCCAACCCUCCACCGUCCCUCGUUCCCAGCAUCUCCCCGCGUCACCGGGCCCAGCAGCCUCACUGCCCGGCCACGCCAAAUGUGAGUGGACUGUGUCCCAAGGUCAAGUCGGCUUCUGGUCAAGCAAGGAAGGAGUGCUGGCCAGCUUCGAGGCAGCCAUUUCCCACGCUGAAUGGGUGCAGGGCAGGGGCUGGCUGGAGCUCGGCGAAUUUCUGGGCAGAACGGUGGCGUCGGCACCUCCAGUGACCGGCACCGGAAGGAGCUGAGAGCCGGGAUCAGGUUCACAGAUGAGCCGCCAAAGAUUGUCCAGAGCUUCCCGGCCUGACCGCAGCUCCCCGCCCCCAGCCCUGCCCGGCCCUCAGCGGGCCCUCAGCGGGCUCUCUGCGCCGUGGCCCACGCCAGGCGGGCGUCCUCUGACAACCCCAGGUGUCCCUUUCCUGCCACCUGGAAAGCGCUGCUCAAAGCAUCUUUGUUUGAGGCGGGACUGGUGCAGCCGCAGCCCUGCCCUGGCCUCCUUAAUCGCCGCCUGGCCCGGCCCACACUCCUCAUGCCCUUUAAGCCCCCAGGUCCUCCCCUGCCCAGUCAGCAAGGAGGGCACAGGCCACACGCAGGCACCGACCUGA